Molecule: ribosomal RNA, 800 nt
Filed under: Arthrobacter globiformis
Lineage: Bacteria; Bacillati; Actinomycetota; Actinomycetes; Micrococcales; Micrococcaceae
Description: bacterial SSU rRNA
Rfam family: Bacterial small subunit ribosomal RNA
Source: RNAcentral
CAUGCAAGUCGAACGAUGAUCCGGUGCUUGCACCGGGGAUUAGUGGCGAACGGGUGAGUAACACGUGAGUAACCUGCCCUUGACUCUGGGAUAAGCCUGGGAAACUGGGUCUAAUACCGGAUAUGACUCCUCAUCGCAUGGUGGGGGGUGGAAAGCUUUUGUGGUUUUGGAUGGACUCGCGGCCUAUCAGCUUGUUGGUGAGGUAAUGGCUCACCAAGGCGACGACGGGUAGCCGGCCUGAGAGGGUGACCGGCCACACUGGGACUGAGACACGGCCCAGACUCCUACGGGAGGCAGCAGUGGGGAAUAUUGCACAAUGGGCGAAAGCCUGAUGCAGCGACGCCGCGUGAGGGAUGACGGCCUUCGGGUUGUAAACCUCUUUCAGUAGGGAAGAAGCGAAAGUGACGGUACCUGCAGAAGAAGCGCCGGCUAACUACGUGCCAGCAGCCGCGGUAAUACGUAGGGCGCAAGCGUUAUCCGGAAUUAUUGGGCGUAAAGAGCUCGUAGGCGGUUUGUCGCGUCUGCCGUGAAAGUCCGGGGCUCAACUCCGGAUCUGCGGUGGGUACGGGCAGACUAGAGUGAUGUAGGGGAGACUGGAAUUCCUGGUGUAGCGGUGAAAUGCGCAGAUAUCAGGAGGAACACCGAUGGCGAAGGCAGGUCUCUGGGCAUUAACUGACGCUGAGGAGCGAAAGCAUGGGGAGCGAACAGGAUUAGAUACCCUGGUAGUCCAUGCCGUAAACGUUGGGCACUAGGUGUGGGGGACAUUCCACGUUUUCCGCGCCGUAGCUAACGCAUUAAGU